CAGGAAGUAGCUUGCUACUUCGCUGACGAGCGGCGGACGGGUGAGUAAUGUAUGGGGAUCUGCCCGAUAGAGGGGGAUAACUACUGGAAACGGUAGCUAAUACCGCAUAAUCUCUUAGGAGCAAAGCAGGGGAUCUUCGGACCUUGCGCUAUCGGAUGAACCCAUAUGGGAUUAGCUAGUAGGUGAGGUAAUGGCUCACCUAGGCGACGAUCUCUAGCUGGUCUGAGAGGAUGAUCAGCCACACUGGGACUGAGACACGGCCCAGACUCCUACGGGAGGCAGCAGUGGGGAAUAUUGCACAAUGGGCGCAAGCCUGAUGCAGCCAUGCCGCGUGUAUGAAGAAGGCCUUAGGGUUGUAAAGUACUUUCAGUCGGGAGGAAGGCGUUGAAACUAAUACUUUCAGCGAUUGACGUUACCGACAGAAGAAGCACCGGCUAACUCCGUGCCAGCAGCCGCGGUAAUACGGGGGGUGCAAGCGUUAAUCGGAAUUACUGGGCGUAAAGCGCACGCAGGCGGUUGAUUAAGUUAGAUGUGAAAGCCCCGGGCUUAACCUGGGAAUGGCAUCUAAAACUGGUCAGCUAGAGUCUUGUAGAGGGGGGUAGAAUUCCAUGUGUAGCGGUGAAAUGCGUAGAGAUGUGGAGGAAUACCGGUGGCGAAGGCGGCCCCCUGGACAAAGAC
Molecule: ribosomal RNA, 678 nt
Filed under: Providencia sp. s_G35-5
Lineage: Bacteria; Pseudomonadati; Pseudomonadota; Gammaproteobacteria; Enterobacterales; Morganellaceae
Description: bacterial SSU rRNA
Rfam family: Bacterial small subunit ribosomal RNA
Source: RNAcentral